Molecule: ribosomal RNA, 250 nt
Filed under: uncultured bacterium
Lineage: Bacteria
Description: partial 16S ribosomal RNA
Rfam family: Bacterial small subunit ribosomal RNA
Source: RNAcentral
UACGGAGGAUCCGAGCGUUAUCCGGAUUUAUUGGGUUUAAAGGGUGCGUAGGCGGCCAGUUAAGUCAGAGGUGAAAGACAGCGGCUCAACCGUUGCAGUGCCUUUGAUACUGAUUGGCUUGAAUUGCGUCGAGGAUGGCGGAACGGGACAAGUAGCGGUGAAAUGCAUAGAUAUGUUCCAGAACACCGAUCGCGAAGGCAGCUGUCCAGCCGCAUAUUGACGCUGAUGCACGAAAGCGUGGGGAUCGAAC